Molecule: unclassified non-coding RNA, 492 nt
Filed under: Siloxerus humifusus
Lineage: Eukaryota; Viridiplantae; Streptophyta; Magnoliopsida; Asterales; Asteraceae
Description: partial external transcribed spacer
Source: RNAcentral
UUAAAGCUAAUAGCUGCUUGCCUUGCGUUAGUGCAUGGUUUGUGGCUGUUUGUUGCGUGGUCUCGGGGAUGAUUACCGUAAAGGUGCAUGAGUGGUGUUUGGUUUGUUACGGGUGGUUGGCUCCUUGCUUGCGCAACCAACUUCCACCUGGCAUACCUCUUCAGUUAUGUGUCAAUGCUUGCAUCGCAUUAGCGCAUCGUGGGUUUCUUGUGCUGCAUUCCUAAUCGAUGGUAUCCUCUGAUGAACUGAUGGCUAUCUUCAUCUUGUGUCGCAUAUGCGACGUGAGAUGGACCUGAAAUCAACCAUUGCGAUCCACUCUCUCUAUUGCUCACGCAACGAUUUUGUGGCUUGCUAAGCGUUGGUUGGUCUCAUUGGUAUGGAACGUUUCGUGGGCAUGAGAUCUUUUAUAAGCUCUUUGUUUGCCCUAGUUAAGCUUUUCAAACACGAUUUCCUAUCACGUCUUGACGUGGUAGGAUCUAUCGAAUAUGAAUG